AGGACGAACGCUGGCGGCGUGCUUAACACAUGCAAGUCGAGCGGUAAGGCCUUUCGGGGUACACGAGCGGCGAACGGGUGAGUAACACGUGGGUGAUCUGCCCUGCACUUCGGGAUAAGCCUGGGAAACUGGGUCUAAUACCGGAUAUGACCUCAGGUUGCAUGACUUGGGGUGGAAAGAUUUAUCGGUGCAGGAUGGGCCCGCGGCCUAUCAGCUUGUUGGUGGGGUAAUGGCCUACCAAGGCGACGACGGGUAGCCGACCUGAGAGGGUGACCGGCCACA
Molecule: ribosomal RNA, 282 nt
Filed under: uncultured soil bacterium
Lineage: Bacteria
Description: partial 16S ribosomal RNA
Rfam family: Bacterial small subunit ribosomal RNA
Source: RNAcentral